RNAcentral lists this ribosomal RNA (245 nucleotides) under uncultured bacterium. RNAcentral's name for it is "partial 16S ribosomal RNA". It matches the Rfam family "Bacterial small subunit ribosomal RNA", at positions 109 to 354 of the family's 1533-position model. The record is from RNAcentral.
AGUAACGCGUGGAGAACCUGCCGUAUACUGGGGGAUAACACUUAGAAAUAGGUGCUAAUACCGCAUAAGCGCACAGCUUCGCAUGAAGCAGUGUGAAAAACUCCGGUGGUAUACGAUGGAUCCGCGUCUGAUUAGCUGGUUGGCGGGGUAAAGGCCCACCAAGGCGACGAUCAGUAGCCGGCCUGAGAGGGUGAACGGCCACAUUGGGACUGAGAUACGGCCCAGACUCCUACGGGAGGCAGCAG